Long non-coding RNA from Styela clava, 1291 nucleotides. RefSeq lists it as uncharacterized. Lineage: Eukaryota; Metazoa; Chordata; Ascidiacea; Stolidobranchia; Styelidae. The record is from RefSeq and is a predicted model, not a curated record.
AACUAAACAGAUUACUUAUAAUUAUAGGCGUAAUAAGUAAUUAUUUUUAUCUAUCUUUAUCAUUACCGAAUGCAACCCUUUCACAACCUUCAUAGUCUUAUCAGCAUAUUGUGUAAUAAGUAAAACAGAUUAUUGAUCAAAAUAGAUAAUCAAUUAAUCAAUUAUAAAUUUUCUUUUAGAGAUGUUCUUCCCAAUAUAACACUCCAAACAAAGGGUUAUAGAAAUCGUUUUAAUAAUAGGCGCACUAUUGUUGAAACUCUGAACGAUGUCUCUUCCACUCAAUCGCCGCCUUAUAUACAUCUUUGAUUGCGAUCCUAGCCAUUUGUCUAUUUCGUAACACGCCUCGUUGAUGGUUUCCUGAAAGUACUAUGUUGAAUGGACUAUUUCUCUAUAACCUCGAUCACCUUAUGGAGAAAAUUUUUAAUUUCGAAUACUUUCUAAACUAGACCAGGCAUUCACCAUCAAUUCGCUAUUUCUCCGUGCUGAUAUGAGUAAACAAAUGACUUAUUUACUGCAGAGAACAUCGUGUCGUAUAUUACGAAUAGCAAACAAAUAUCUGAUCAUCUGAUCAAACAUCACGACUUGGCUGGUAUAUUCCACAUGUGUCGGGCAUCGGACUCAUGAUUCCUGUCGCCAGUUAGCUAUAUAAAGCUCACAAGAAUUGGGUCCAGUCCAAGUGUAAAAAAAUUGCGUGAGCUGUAGUCUAGCAACAUUCUUUUGUUGUGCUGUGCCCCGCAACCUCAAAAACAAACAAUGAGAGCUCCAGAUUCAAGCAAUGCCUGUGCCUGUUAUUUCGCAAAUUUUGUUUAUCUUAAAAAUACUUUAUGUAGCCCAAGUAAUACUGUAUGUUUACAAGAAACCCCUCAGUUAAAUAUUAGUGUUCGUUUCUUGUUUAUUAUUAUUGGACACGUGAGUGGACAUAUGGAUCGUUUUCAUAUUUUUGGUAAUCUUGUUUUUGUUGGUCUUCUUCUUCGUAUCGCUUUGAAAAAAAAACGCCAUAAAUAUGAGAUCGCGUCAGUGUUGCGUUUUUAUGUAUAACAACUUUAUAAAUCUCUGAUUAUAUUUAUGGAUGUUUCCCUGAGUAUACACUUCUUUAUUUACUUCCGUAACAUUGGCCAAUCAGCAUAGGUGCAAAAUUUGACGUAACAAUAAACGUUUCAGGAACGCUUAGAUACUUUUGCCAUUCAGACAGUCUUUCGUGGUUGUGAAUAUUACCUCGUUUUGGCGGUUUUCGCGUAUUAUUUGCUAGUUUUUAGUGGUGUUUUGGUGAAUAUAAGUCCUAAUCAAAUAA